Molecule: ribosomal RNA, 468 nt
Filed under: uncultured bacterium
Lineage: Bacteria
Description: partial 16S ribosomal RNA
Rfam family: Bacterial small subunit ribosomal RNA (bases 48-468)
Source: RNAcentral
GGGGGGGGGGGGGGGGGGGGGGGGGGGGGGGGGGGGGGGGGGGAGGGGGCGGGGUGGGGGGGGUGCGCGGGGGGGGAACGGGGGAGUAACACGUGAGUAACCUGCCCUUGACUUUGGGAUAACUUCAGGAAACUGGGGCUAAUACCGGAUAGGAGCUCCUGCUGCAUGGUGGGGGUUGGAAAGUUUCGGCGGUUGGGGAUGGACUCGCGGCUUAUCAGCUUGUUGGUGGGGUAGUGGCUUACCAAGGCUUUGACGGGUAGCCGGCCUGAGAGGGUGACCGGCCACAUUGGGACUGAGAUACGGCCCAGACUCCUACGGGAGGCAGCAGUGGGGAAUAUUGCACAAUGGGCGGAAGCCUGAUGCAGCAACGCCGCGUGCGGGAUGACGGCCUUCGGGUUGUAAACCGCUUUCGCCUGUGACGAAGCGUGAGUGACGGUAAUGGGUAAAGAAGCACCGGCUAACUACGUG